This 507-nucleotide ribosomal RNA is filed under the name uncultured bacterium. RNAcentral describes it as "partial 16S ribosomal RNA". It matches the Rfam family "Bacterial small subunit ribosomal RNA", at positions 28 to 507 of the family's 1533-position model. The record is from RNAcentral.
GACGAACGCUGGCGGCGUGCCUAAUACAUGCAAGUCGAACGCAUUUUCUUUCACCGUAGCUUGCUACACCGACAGAAAAUGAGUGGCGAACGGGUGAGUAACACGUGGGUAACCUGCCCAUCAGCGGGGGAUAACACUUGGAAACAGGUGCUAAUACCGCAUAAUUCCAUUUACCGCAUGGUAAAUGGAUGAAAGGCGCUUUUGCGUCACUGAUGGAUGGACCCGCGGUGCAUUAGCUAGUUGGUGGGGUAACGGCCUACCAAGGCUGCGAUGCAUAGCCGACCUGAGAGGGUGAUCGGCCACACUGGGACUGAGACACGGCCCAGACUCCUACGGGAGGCAGCAGUAGGGAAUCUUCGGCAAUGGACGCAAGUCUGACCGAGCAACGCCGCGUGAUUGAAGAAGGGUUUCGGAUCGUAAAACUCUGUUGUUAGAGAAGAACAAGGAUGAGAGUGGAAAGUUCAUCCCUUGACGGUAUCUAACCAGAAAGCCACGGCUAACUACGUG